RNAcentral lists this ribosomal RNA (253 nucleotides) under uncultured bacterium. RNAcentral describes it as "partial 16S ribosomal RNA". It matches the Rfam family "Bacterial small subunit ribosomal RNA", at positions 524 to 776 of the family's 1533-position model. The record is from RNAcentral.
UACGUAGGGGGCGAGCGUUGUCCGGAUUUAUUGGGCGUAAAGAGCGUGUAGGCGGCCAGGUAGGUCUGCUGUGAAAACUCGAGGCUCAACCUCGAGACGUCGGCGGAAACCAUCUGGCUAGAGUCCGGAAGAGGAGAGUGGAAUUCCUGGUGUAGCGGUGAAAUGCGCAGAUAUCAGGAAGAACACCCGUGGCGAAGGCGGCUCUCUGGGACGGUACUGACGCUGAGACGCGCAAGCGUGGGGAGCGAACAGG